UCCCGCAAUAUAUAUUAUCACGAAUAUUUAGUUAUCCCGCAAUAUAGCCCCUGCCAAAAAGGUGAUUAAGGUUUUUUUAGUAAAUAUUGAUUGUUGCGUGCCCAUUUUUCUAUUUUCAUGAAAAAAGUCAAAGAAAAUUAAAUUUUAUUCAUAAAUCCAUUUUUGGGCCGCCCCUGCCAUAUAGGUGAUUAUGGUUUUUUUAGGAUUUAUUGAUUGAUUCUUGCCCAUUUUUAAAUUUACAUGAAGAAAAUCAAAGAAAAAUAAAUUGUAUCCAU
Molecule: long non-coding RNA, 275 nt
Organism: Aphis gossypii (cotton aphid)
Lineage: Eukaryota; Metazoa; Arthropoda; Insecta; Hemiptera; Aphididae
Exons: 3
Source: RefSeq, a predicted model, not a curated record